RNAcentral lists this microRNA precursor (70 nucleotides) under Rhinopithecus bieti (black snub-nosed monkey). RNAcentral's name for it is "miRNA (ENSRBIG00000009470.1)". Lineage: Eukaryota; Metazoa; Chordata; Mammalia; Primates; Cercopithecidae. The record is from RNAcentral.
UGCUUCCUUUCUCAGCUGAACCCCUGCCCCCGAGAGCCCCCAGCAGUGGCCCCUGAGGAGGAGCUGCAGC